Ctenocephalides felis (cat flea) is the source of this 216-nucleotide small nucleolar RNA. RefSeq annotates it as small nucleolar RNA U3. The record is from RefSeq and is a predicted model, not a curated record. The transcript has a single exon. NCBI's taxonomy places the organism in Eukaryota, Metazoa, Arthropoda, Insecta, Siphonaptera, Pulicidae.
AAGAUCAUACUUCACAGGAUCAUUUCUGUAGUAUGUCUUCACAAUCUCUUCACUCAAACGUGGAGUUGAUGCGACCUCGACGAUGAAUUGUAGCGUCGCACCCUGAGCGUGAGAAAGGUGAUCGAACUUCAUUUGGAGUUUGAUCAUCAUCGAUGACCGUUCGCCAAAAUCCCUCGUGGAUUUUGGUCAUGGGUUUUUUGAUGCUUUCUGAGAGGU